UACGGAGGGUGCGAGCGUUGUCCGGAAUCACUGGGCGUAAAGGGCGCGUAGGUGGCCUGUGGAAGUCUGCGGUGAAAGCCCGGCGCUCAACGCCGGGUCGGCCGUGGAUACUCUCGGGCUUGAGCUUACUAGAGGCAGAUGGAAUUCCGGGUGUAGCGGUGGAAUGCGUAGAGAUCGGAAAGAACACCAACGGCGAAAGCACUCUGCUGGGCCGACACUGACACUGAGAGACGAAAGCUAGGGGAGCGAAUGGG
This 254-nucleotide ribosomal RNA is filed under the name uncultured bacterium. Its description in RNAcentral is "partial 16S ribosomal RNA". It matches the Rfam family "Bacterial small subunit ribosomal RNA", at positions 524 to 776 of the family's 1533-position model. The record is from RNAcentral.